Molecule: non-coding RNA, 84 nt
Organism: Bombyx mori (domestic silkworm)
Lineage: Eukaryota; Metazoa; Arthropoda; Insecta; Lepidoptera; Bombycidae
Source: Rfam
UUAACUCAAUUUUGUAUGGAGUAGGAACAGCGCCCCUAGCGGCAAACGUAGGCAAACGUUCCGACUCCAUACAAAUUUGAGUUA